This 270-nucleotide ribosomal RNA is filed under the name uncultured Lactobacillaceae bacterium. RNAcentral's name for it is "partial 16S ribosomal RNA". It matches the Rfam family "Bacterial small subunit ribosomal RNA", at positions 74 to 339 of the family's 1533-position model. Lineage: Bacteria; Bacillati; Bacillota; Bacilli; Lactobacillales; Lactobacillaceae. The record is from RNAcentral.
AUGAUUCAGACCUUGGUGAGUGGCGGACGGUGAGUAACACGUCGGUAACCUGCCCAGAAGUGGGGAUAACAUUUGGAAACAAGUGCUAAUACCGCAUAACAACUUAGAUCACAUGAUCUUUAGUUAAAAGAUUGGUUUUGCUAUCUCUUCUGGAUCGGACCCGCGGCGUAUUAGCUAGUUGGUGAGGUAAUAGCUCACCAAGGCGAUGAUACGUAGCCCGACCUGAGAGGGUAAUCGGCCACAUUGGGACUGAGACACGGCCCAAACUCC